UACGGGAGGCAGCAGUGAGGAAUAUUGGUCAAUGGACGAGAGUCUGAACCAGCCAAGUAGCGUGAAGGAUGAAGGUCUUACGGAUUGUAAACUUCUUUUAUAAGGGAGUAAAACCUCCCACGUGUGGGAGCUUGUAUGUACCUUAUGAAUAAGCAUCGGCUAACUCCGUGCCAGCAGCCGCGGUAAUACGGAGGAUGCGAGCGUUAUCCGGAUUUAUUGGGUUUAAAGGGAGCGCAGACGGGUCGUUAAGUCAGCUGUGAAAGUUUGGGGCUCAACCUUAAAAUUGCAGUUGAUACUGGCGUCCUUGAGUGCGGUUGAGGUGUGCGGAAUUCGUGGUGUAGCGGUGAAAUGCUUAGAUAUCACGAAGAACUCCGAUUGCGAAGGCAGCACACUAAGCCGUAACUGACGUUCAUGCUCGAAAGUGUGGGUAUCAAACAGGAUUAGAUACCCUGGUAGUCCACACGGUAAACGAUGGAUACUCGCUGUUGGCGAUAUACGGUCAGCGGCUUAGCGAAAGCGUUAAGUAUCCCACCUGGGGAGUACGCC
RNAcentral lists this ribosomal RNA (546 nucleotides) under uncultured bacterium. Its description in RNAcentral is "bacterial SSU rRNA". It matches the Rfam family "Bacterial small subunit ribosomal RNA", at positions 340 to 886 of the family's 1533-position model. The record is from RNAcentral.